RNAcentral lists this ribosomal RNA (339 nucleotides) under uncultured bacterium. RNAcentral's name for it is "bacterial SSU rRNA". It matches the Rfam family "Bacterial small subunit ribosomal RNA", at positions 28 to 366 of the family's 1533-position model. The record is from RNAcentral.
GACGAACGCUGGCGGCGUGCCUUACACAUGCAAGUCGAACGGUAACGCGGGGCAACCUGGCGACGAGUGGCGAACGGGUGAGUAAUGCAUCGGAACGUGCCCAGUAGUGGGGGAUAGCCCGGCGAAAGCCGGAUUAAUACCGCAUACGACCUACGGGUGAAAGCGGGGGACCGUAAGGCCUCGCGCUAUUGGAGCGGCCGAUGUCAGAUUAGGUAGUUGGUGGGGUAAAGGCCUACCAAGCCUUCGAUCUGUAGCUGGUCUGAGAGGACGGACCAGCCAUACUGGGACGUGAGACACGGCCCACGACUCCUACCGGGAGGGCAGCAGUGGGGAAGUUUU